UAACACGUAAACAACCUGCCUUCAGGAUGGGGGNAANAGACGGAAACGACUGCUAAUACCGAAUAAGUUCCAAGGGCCGCAUGGCCCAUGGAAGAAAAGGUGGCCUCUACCUGUAAGCUAUCGCCUGAAGAGGGGUUUGCGUCUGAUUAGCUGGUUGGAGGGGUAACGGCCCACCAAGGCGACGAUCAGUAGCCGGUCUGAGAGGAUGAACGGCCACACUGGAACUGAGACACGGUCCAGACUCCUACGGGAGGCAGCAGUGGGGAAUCUUCCGCAAUGGGCGAAAGCCUGACGGAGCAACGCCGCGUGAGUGAUGACGGCCUUCGGGUUGUAAAACUCUGUGAUCCGGGACGAAAAGGCAGAGUGCGAAGAACAAACUGCAUUGACGGUACCGGAAAAGCAAGCCACGGCUAACUACGUGCCAGCAGCCGCGGUAAUACGUAGGUGGCAAGCGUUGUCCGGAAUUAUUGGGCGUAAAGCGCGCGCAGGCGGCUUCCCAAGUCCCUCUUAAAAGUGCGGGGCUUAACCCCGUGAUGGGAAGGAAACUGGGAAGCUGGAGUAUCGGAGAGGAAAGUGGAAUUCCUAGUGUAGCGGUGAAAUGCGUAGAGAUUAGGAAGAACACCGGUGGCGAAGGCGACUUUCUGGACGAAAACUGACGCUGAGGCGCGAAAGCGUGGGGAGCAAACAGGAUUAGAUACCCUGGUAGUCCACGCCGUAAACGAUGG
Molecule: ribosomal RNA, 725 nt
Filed under: uncultured bacterium
Lineage: Bacteria
Description: bacterial SSU rRNA
Rfam family: Bacterial small subunit ribosomal RNA
Source: RNAcentral